This 759-nucleotide ribosomal RNA is filed under the name Parahaemophilus parainfluenzae. Its description in RNAcentral is "Haemophilus parainfluenzae bacterial SSU rRNA". It matches the Rfam family "Bacterial small subunit ribosomal RNA", at positions 28 to 776 of the family's 1533-position model. Lineage: Bacteria; Pseudomonadati; Pseudomonadota; Gammaproteobacteria; Pasteurellales; Pasteurellaceae. The record is from RNAcentral.
AUUGAACGCUGGCGGCAGGCUUAACACAUGCAAGUCGAACGGUAACAUAAAGAAGCUUGCUUCUUUGAUGACGAGUGGCGGACGGGUGAGUAAUGCUUGGGAAUCUAGCUUAUGGAGGGGGAUAACUACGGGAAACUGUAGCUAAUACCGCGUAAUAUCGAAAGAUUAAAGUGUGGGACCUUCGGGCCACAUGCCAUAGGAUGAGCCCAAGUGGGAUUAGGUAGUUGGUGAGGUAAAGGCUCACCAAGCCGACGAUCUCUAGCUGGUCUGAGAGGAUGACCAGCCACACUGGGACUGAGACACGGCCCAGACUCCUACGGGAGGCAGCAGUGGGGAAUAUUGCGCAAUGGGGGCAACCCUGACGCAGCCAUGCCGCGUGAAUGAAGAAGGCCUUCGGGUUGUAAAGUUCUUUCGGUAGCGAGGAAGGCAUUUAGUUUAAUAGACUAGGUGAUUGACGUUAACUACAGAAGAAGCACCGGCUAACUCCGUGCCAGCAGCCGCGGUAAUACGGAGGGUGCGAGCGUUAAUCGGAAUAACUGGGCGUAAAGGGCACGCAGGCGGUGACUUAAGUGAGGUGUGAAAGCCCCGGGCUUAACCUGGGAAUUGCAUUUCAUACUGGGUCGCUAGAGUACUUUAGGGAGGGGUAGAAUUCCACGUGUAGCGGUGAAAUGCGUAGAGAUGUGGAGGAAUACCGAAGGCGAAGGCAGCCCCUUGGGAAUGUACUGACGCUCAUGUGCGAAAGCGUGGGGAGCANNCAGG